RNAcentral lists this non-coding RNA (62 nucleotides) under Paraphysomonas bandaiensis. The record is from RNAcentral. Lineage: Eukaryota; Chrysophyceae; Chromulinales; Paraphysomonadaceae.
UACAACAUACUAACAUCUCUGUCUAUACAUACAUACAUAGUCUUCCAUUAAGUCUCCCAACU